GACGAACGCUGGCGGCGUGCCUAAUACAUGCAAGUUGAGCGCUGAAGGUUGGUACUUGUACCAACUGGAUGAGCAGCGAACGGGUGAGUAACGCGUGGGGAAUCUGCCUUUGAGCGGGGGACAACAUUUGGAAACGAAUGCUAAUACCGCAUAAAAACUUUAAACACAAGUUUUAAGUUUGAAAGAUGCAAUUGCAUCACUCAAAGAUGAUCCCGCGUUGUAUUAGCUAGUUGGUGAGGUAAAGGCUCACCAAGGCGAUGAUACAUAGCCGACCUGAGAGGGUGGUCCGCCACAAUGGGACUGAGACACGGCCCAAACUCCUACGGGAAGCAGCAGUAGGGAAUCUUCGGCAAUGGACGAAAGUCUGACCGAGCAACGCCGCGUGAGUGAAGAAGGUUCUCGGAUCGUAAAACUCCGUUUGUAGAGAAGAAAGAAGGGGAGAGGGGAAAGCGCAUCAAGUGACGGUAACUACCCAGAAAGCGACGGCUAACUACGUG
This 497-nucleotide ribosomal RNA is filed under the name uncultured bacterium. RNAcentral's name for it is "partial 16S ribosomal RNA". It matches the Rfam family "Bacterial small subunit ribosomal RNA", at positions 28 to 507 of the family's 1533-position model. The record is from RNAcentral.